Nicotiana attenuata is the source of this 159-nucleotide ribosomal RNA. It matches the Rfam family "Eukaryotic small subunit ribosomal RNA", at positions 1667 to 1823 of the family's 1831-position model. Lineage: Eukaryota; Viridiplantae; Streptophyta; Magnoliopsida; Solanales; Solanaceae. The record is from Rfam.
CACCGCCCGUCGCUCCUACCGAUUGAAUGAUUCGGUGAAAUGUACGGAUCGCAGCGAUGUGGGCGGUUCGCUGCCCGCGACGUCGCAGAAGUCCAUUGAACCUUAUCAUUUAGAGGAGGAGAAGUCGUAAAAAGGUUUCCGCAGAUGAACCUGCGAAGG